RNAcentral lists this transfer RNA (72 nucleotides) under candidate division KSB3 bacterium. RNAcentral describes it as "tRNA-Val". It matches the Rfam family "tRNA". Rfam says of the family: Transfer RNA (tRNA) molecules are approximately 80 nucleotides in length. Their secondary structure includes four short double-helical elements and three loops (D, anti-codon, and T loops). Further hydrogen bonds mediate the characteristic L-shaped molecular structure. tRNAs have two regions of fundamental functional importance: the anti-codon, which is responsible for specific mRNA codon recognition, and the 3' end, to which the tRNAs corresponding amino acid is attached (by aminoacyl-tRNA synthetases). tRNAs cope with the degeneracy of the genetic code in two manners: having more than one tRNA (with a specific anti-codon) for a particular amino acid; and 'wobble' base-pairing, i.e. permitting non-standard base-pairing at the 3rd anti-codon position. The record is from RNAcentral.
GGACGCUUAGUUCAGGGGUAGAACGCUGUCUUCACACGGCAGAAGUCACUGGUUCAAAUCCAGUAGCGUCCA